This 73-nucleotide transfer RNA is filed under the name Caudoviricetes sp. RNAcentral's name for it is "tRNA-Met". It matches the Rfam family "tRNA". From Rfam's summary of the family: Transfer RNA (tRNA) molecules are approximately 80 nucleotides in length. Lineage: Duplodnaviria; Heunggongvirae; Uroviricota; Caudoviricetes. The record is from RNAcentral.
GGAUCCUUAGCUCAACGGUCAGAGCAACCGGCUCAUAACCGGCAGGUUCCGGGUUCGAAUCCCGGAGGAUCUA